ACCUAUUCUGGAGGAUUAUUUUGUUUCUCUCGGUAUAAUGGUUUGGAUGCGACAUGCUUUUCUUGUGGUUAUUAUAUCCUGACUAGUGGCGUUUUUUUGCGCCAAUCCAAACCUUCAAAGGCCACAUAAAUUC
RNAcentral lists this small nucleolar RNA (133 nucleotides) under Setaria italica (foxtail millet). The record is from RNAcentral. Lineage: Eukaryota; Viridiplantae; Streptophyta; Magnoliopsida; Poales; Poaceae.